Molecule: long non-coding RNA, 2574 nt
Filed under: Cinara cedri
Lineage: Eukaryota; Metazoa; Arthropoda; Insecta; Hemiptera; Aphididae
Source: RNAcentral
CAACGGCGAACGACGUUUGUGCGGCGGCGCACCGUUUACGGACGACCCGAUCCGAACAUUCGGCGCACGUCGGACUACGAGUCUUCCACAGAUAUUCCGAAAAACGUUUCGCGGACUUGUCGAACCGGCGGUCCCGGCGUGUUCCGGUCGCGCGGACCGUUUUCCGAACGUUUGAUCCGUCAAAUGGGUCAAACGUUCGGACGCCGUUGGCAUUUUCGACUGCGCUCGCGGACGGUCUCUUUCGAUCGGCCGCGUCCGCUUCACUCGGGGUAAAGUUCGUUUCGAACGAAACACCGCGUUCAACCCCGCCGCAUUAAUAUUAAUACAAUGUCGUGUAUUUCGGAACACAUUGGCACAUAAAACAACCACUGUGAACUAUAGAUAGCCGACUGCCGUGACGAUAUAAUACGAUCGAGUACCGUAGAUCUGGGGGAUACGAUCGCCCUCGCCCGCCCGCCCUCCCCCCCCUCUCCACCGUCCCCGUUGUGUUGUCCUGGACGCGCCCCCCGUUAGAGGUAAGAGGUCGCGCCGCACAGACCAACGAGGUAAAUCCUAUUGAUAAACCUCACGAUUUCGAUAUAUUCUGUUUCGUUGCCAAGCGAACGAUACAUAAUUAUAUACACAGUGACGAUUUGUGAUCAAUUUCAAAUGUUUUUCGUAUUAUUCCACAGCCGGUAAACGUUUACGGCGGACGGCGGGUUAACCGACAAUAUGUGCUCUCUUCUUGUUUAGAUAUGGCUGACAAGCAUCAAAUCCACUCGUAGAUCAGUCGGCUGUCUAUAGCGGUUGUUUUAUGCAUCUGUGAGCGGAAACUGUUGGAUUUUUAUACGGGCGGAAACGGAUCGUUAUAAUUAUUAUUAUACAAUAUCGUAUACAAAGUCACAACUGUAUAUGAACCGCUAAAGGCGGAAAGGGCACGCGUUUGAAUUUUAAACAUUUUCGAGAAAGAAAAUUAUACUUAAUAUUAUAUCUGUAAAAAUUGAACCGGUACGUUUCAGAAGUCGUUCUAUGAAAUAUUGUACCGAACCGUAGGUGCUUAAGGGUUGUUUUUUUUUUUUUUCGUCUUUCUUGAAAAAUUUUAAAAUUUGUUUACGCGCCCUUUUCGCAUUUAGCGAUUCAUACAUAGUUUGAACGCGUGUCGCAUUAUCAUUAUUAUUAUACUAUCGUCGUUAUUUCGUUAAUCUGUUUUUAUGUUUCUCGUUAAUAUUAUUUAUAAGUACGCAAUAUCGCACUCCCGAGACUAUAUAUGUAUACAGAGUGAUUAAAAUUGUUUUAUUUUAUUUUUUUCAUCGCGAUCCGACCGAUUUCUCGGAGGAUUUUAAGUAAAUCUAAUUUCUGGUUUUUUUUUUUUUUUUUUUCAAUUAUUUCGUUUAAGCUUUGUUUUAACAUUGUUUUCAAACUGUUACCCCUACUCCUUAUAAUUGAAAUAAGUCUAAAUUGUCUGAAACUGAAAAAAAAAAAAAUCAAAAUCAACUCUACUCAAAAUCUUCGUUGAUAUAAUAUAAUCGUAAAAAAAAAAAAAAUAAUAAUAAAAAAUUUAAAAAUUCGCUUUGUAUACAUAUACACUGUGGCAGAGUAUUCACUAUUAUUAUAUGUAAUAAUAACAACAGUUUUUCCCGUCAGUUUAUUGUUAUUAAAUUGUAUACAUUUCAAACCGGUAAAACGCAUCGCAACAUUAUAUAAACAUUAUAUAGAUCUGUUAAACAAAAUAUAACAAUAUAAUAAUAAUACACUAUAUUUUUUUACACGUCGUUAUCAUACCUUACACUGUAAAAACAAUAUUGUAUCGUCGCCGUUACGCAAAAAGUAAUCUGGUGUAUAACCCCCGAAUGCCUUGUUUCAUCCAUACAUACACGUACAAACAAAUAAGGGUCCGCCGGAUGAUAUAAAUAUAUUUUAGGAAUCACUGAACACGUACGGUUGUUUUUUUUUUUUUUUCUGUUAUUAAGGUUCAAAUCUAAUAGCAUUAUAAUUAUCGAAUCUAAAGUUUAGAUUUAAAAAAAACUAAAUAAAUUGUAAAAACUUUUUUUUUUAAAUCGUCGAGUGACUUUUUGCACGGCGGCUACGAUACUGUCUGUUUGCUCUUUACGGUUUCCGGACCGAGAUCAAACAUUUAUCUAUAAGUACCUGCAGCGGGCAACCCGUUAAACCUAUUUACUCAUUAACAUUGUUUGUCGAAAAAUAUUCGGUAACGCGACCGCAACACUGUCGCGACGAUUUCCGAUUGGUGUGUAAUGUUCGCGCGCCGCCGUCUAUUAUUACAAAACCGAACCGUUAUGUAAAUAAAUGUGUACCCAACUCACAACUAUGAUGUAUAAUCUGCGUUUUAUUAUUAUUAUUGUUUUUUUUUUUGUAAAAUAAAAAUGUUUUUUAAUCCAUCCGUAUUUGAUCGUCGUAGCUGGUUCGCGUUACAACUGCUCUUAUCGUCGUAUACUAUAAUUAUUUUAGACUGUAAUAACGUUAUUGUAAUAGGUAUUGGUUUUUUACAAUCAUUAUUAUUAUUAUUAUUAUUAUUUUGUCCGACGGGCCGUGUUGCCGAGAUCAGUGUUUCGCUGUGUAUCAUUAUGUACCUAC